AUGCGUCUCUUUCAGGAAUUUUAUGAACUAGGCAGCAACUUUCACGCCAUCAAUGUAGCAAAUAUUGUGCUCAUACCUAAGAAAGAAGCACCAACGGAUAUCAGAGAUUUCCGCCCCAUCUCCUUGGUACACAGCUUGCCCAAGCUGAUAACCAAAGUGCUUGCUGCAUGACUGCAACGCCUCAUCCCAGCCAUGAUUCAUCCGCUGCAGUCGGGUUUUUUACCUGGGCGAUGCAUUAUUGAGAAUUUUAUGUUAGCAGCUGAAUUGGUACAGCAAGUAGACAAGAGAAAGAAACCUAUGAUCGUACUAAAACUUGAUUUUCGGAAGGCCUUCGAUAGCGUGAGUUGGGAUGCACUGCUCCAAAUCUUUCAGGCAAGGGGUUUUGGGAGCCGUUGGAACCACUGGAUUUCUAACAUUUUCACGUCAAGCUCCUCUCAAGUCCUUCUUAAUGGUCAGAUUGGGGAGAAGAUACAAUCCAAAUGUGGCCUCAGGCAGGGGGAUGCACUGUCACCUUAUCUUUUCAUACUAAAUGCUGAUGUUCUACAAAGGUGUUGUGAUAGAGAGCAUCAAGCUGGCCUGCUCAAACAUCCGCUCGGAGGGGUGGGACCGUUCCCCGUCCUAUAG
RNAcentral lists this ribosomal RNA (624 nucleotides) under Triticum aestivum (bread wheat). Its description in RNAcentral is "partial small subunit ribosomal RNA". The record is from RNAcentral. Lineage: Eukaryota; Viridiplantae; Streptophyta; Magnoliopsida; Poales; Poaceae.